This 76-nucleotide transfer RNA is filed under the name Candidatus Kaiserbacteria bacterium. RNAcentral's name for it is "tRNA-Val". It matches the Rfam family "tRNA". From Rfam's summary of the family: Transfer RNA (tRNA) molecules are approximately 80 nucleotides in length. Lineage: Bacteria; Candidatus Kaiseribacteriota. The record is from RNAcentral.
GGGCAGUUAGCUCAGUUGGUAGAGCAUCUCGUUUACACCGAGAGGGUCACAGGUCCGAGUCCUGUACUGCCCACCU